UACGUAGGAGGCAAGCGUUGUCCGGAUUACUGGGCGUAAAGCGCGUGUAGGCGGCUUGGUAAGUCUGCUCUGAAAGCCCGGGGCUCAACCCCGGGAGGCGGGUGGAUACUGUCAAGCUCGAGUCCGGAAGAGGAGUGUGGAAUUCCUGGUGUAGCGGUGAAAUGCGCAGAUAUCGAGAGGAACACCGGUGCGAAGGCGGGUCUCUGGGCAGUAACUGACGCUGAGGAGCGAAAGCGUGGGGAGCAAACAGG
RNAcentral lists this ribosomal RNA (251 nucleotides) under uncultured bacterium. RNAcentral describes it as "partial 16S ribosomal RNA". It matches the Rfam family "Bacterial small subunit ribosomal RNA", at positions 524 to 776 of the family's 1533-position model. The record is from RNAcentral.